This 879-nucleotide ribosomal RNA is filed under the name Onchocercidae sp. NN-2018. Its description in RNAcentral is "SSU rRNA". It matches the Rfam family "Eukaryotic small subunit ribosomal RNA", at positions 104 to 988 of the family's 1831-position model. The record is from RNAcentral. Lineage: Eukaryota; Metazoa; Nematoda; Chromadorea; Rhabditida; Onchocercidae.
UAACAGCUAUAAUGUACUUGAUGUUGAUUAUCCAACGUGGAUAACUGUGGCAAUUCUAGAGCUAAUACAUGCACCAAAGCUCCGACUUUUGGACGAGCGCAUCUAUUAGAUUAAAACCAAUCGGGUUUUUAACCCGUUAAUUGGUGACUCUGAAUAGCUAUGGCUGAUCGCAUGGUCUAGUACCGGCGACGUAUCUAUCAAGUGUCUGCCUUAUCAACUUUCGAUGGUAGUUUAUGUGCCUACCAUGGUUGUAACGGGUAACGGAGAAUAAGGGUUCGACUCCGGAGAGGGAGCCUGAGAAACGGCUACCACAUCCAAGGAAGGCAGCAGGCGCGCAAAUUACCCACUCUCAGAAUGAGGAGGUAGUGACGAAAAAUAACGAGACCGUUCUCUUUGAGGCCGGUUAUCGGAAUGGGUACAAUUUAAACCCGUUAACGAGGAUCUAUGAGAGGGCAAGUCUGGUGCCAGCAGCCGCGGUAAUUCCAGCUCUCAAAGUGUAUAUCGUCAUUGCUGCGGUUAAAAAGCUCGUAGUUGGAUCUGCGUCUCAGGACCUGGUCCAUCCAUUGGAUGAGAACUGGGCUCCUAGGCUAAUAUUGCCAGUUUUCCUUACGUUACCUUGAUUGGUUGCGUAUGGUGGCUAGCAAGUUUACCUUGAAAAAAUUAGAGUGCUCAAUGCGGGCUAAUGCCUGAAUACUCGUGCAUGGAAUAAUGAAAUAGGAUCUCGGUUCUAUUUUGUUGGUUUUCUGAUCUGAGAUAAUGGUUAAGAGGGACGGACGGGGGCAUUCGUAUCGCUGCGUGAGAGGUGAAAUUCUUGGACCGUAGCGAGACGUACGACUGCGAAAGCAUUUGCCAAGAAUGUCUUCAUAAUCAAGAACGAAA